AGGGUUUGAUCCUGGCUCAGAUUGAACGCUGGCGGCAGGCCUAACACAUGCAAGUCGAACGGUAACAUUUCUAGCUUGCUAGAAGAUGACGAGUGGCGGACGGGUGAGUAAUGCUUGGGAACUUGCCUUUGCGAGGGGAAUAACAGUUGGAAACGACUGCUAAUACCGCAUAAUGUCUUCGGACCAAACGGGGCUUCGGCUCCGGCGCAAAGAGAGGCCCAAGUGAGAUUAGCUAGUUGGUAAGGUAACGGCUUACCAAGGCGACGAUCUCUAGCUGUUCUGAGAGGAAGAUCAGCCACACUGGGACUGAGACACGGCCCAGACUCCUACGGGAGGCAGCAGUGGGGAAUAUUGCACAAUGGGGGAAACCCUGAUGCAGCCAUGCCGCGUGUGUGAAGAAGGCCUUCGGGUUGUAAAGCACUUUCAGUUGUGAGGAAAAGUUAGUAGUUAAUACCUGCUAGCCGUGACGUUAACAACAGAAGAAGCACCGGCUAACUCCGUGCCAGCAGCCGCGGUAAUACGGAGGGUGCGAGCGUUAAUCGGAAUUACUGGGCGUAAAGCGCACGCAGGCGGUUUGUUAAGCUAGAUGUGAAAGCCCCCGGGCUCACCCUGGGAUGGUCAUUUAGAACUGGCAGACUAGAGUCUUGGAGAAGGGAGUGGAAUUCCAGGUGUAGCGGUGAAAUGCGUAUAUAUCUGGAGGAUCAUCAGUGGAGACGCGACUCCCUGGUCAACACUAACGCUGAUGUACGAAAGUGUGAGUAGCGAACAGGAUUACUACUCUGGUACUCCACACGUAAUCGCUGUCUACUGUCUUGUGUGUGUCUGUAUGUGUGCAUACACACUAAGCCGAUAGCUGGACGCUAGGCAGUCGGCCGCAGGUUAUACUGAAUGGAUCGCCGGUCCUGACAGCGGAGUACUGAGCUUAGUCGAUCAUCCGAC
Molecule: ribosomal RNA, 939 nt
Filed under: uncultured bacterium
Lineage: Bacteria
Description: bacterial SSU rRNA
Rfam family: Bacterial small subunit ribosomal RNA
Source: RNAcentral